This is a long non-coding RNA of Cucumis melo (muskmelon), 1401 nucleotides long. RefSeq lists it as uncharacterized. Lineage: Eukaryota; Viridiplantae; Streptophyta; Magnoliopsida; Cucurbitales; Cucurbitaceae. The record is from RefSeq and is a predicted model, not a curated record. The transcript is spliced from 3 exons.
ACUCCUCGCACCGUCCUUUGUUCGCAGCUUCGAGUCGAAGCAACGCCGUUCGAGCCGAUUUCGUCGUCGUCUACGCCGCCCCGUCGCUCGUCGUCGCAAGGAAAAUUGGCAGCCUUCGUCUUCAACCGCGCCGAUUCGCCAUCCGCCACCCGCUUUUCGCCGUCUUUCUCCAUCCCGUCUACGUCAGCAUCUCCGUCGCUGAGCCGUCGAAUGUUGAUAGCCGCCAUCCGUCGUCGUUCGUCUGUCGCGACUUAGCCACGAAAAAAACCAGAAAACCCGAGCCGCGUCCGCCGCCAGCAACUCACGCGCCUCCAUAGCCGCGUGAAGCCGACCUGACCCGCACGCCCGUGCCUGCACCGUAGUCGAGUCGCCAUACACGUGUGAGCCGCCUGCUCGAGCCAUCCUGCGCGCUUGAGCCGCCUGUCCGAGCUGCCCUCUGCGUUCUAGCCGAGCCGCCUAGCCGCUUCACCUGUCUUUGAGCCGCCAACCUGUUUUUGGUCAUUUUCACCUGUUUUGGGACAUCUUGGACCAAUUGAUUCCUGGAGCGUGGGAUUUCUCCACUUAAAGACUUAUUCGUUGCAACCUCGACCUCGGACUUCACUGCUUGGAAAGCGUGAUUUUACUGUUAGAAUUUGAGUGAGCAAAUCUCCAGGUAAGAGAUUCUACUAUUAGACCUGCGAGAGGAAUUAAGAGAUCGCAUGUAUUUUUUUGUUAUGCAUAUUGAUGACUAGAUUGCAUAACGGCAUGGUAAUUAAUGAUGAUAUGAUAUGACAUGAUGACAUGAUAUGACAUGAUGAUAUGGUAUGACUUGAUGAUGUGAUGAUGAUUUGUUACGUGCAUGUUAUGGCUAGGGUGUAUGUUAGCUUAUCCUAUUAGAGUCGUACCUGCAUGGAUGUCCUUCGGAAUCACCACCUUUUUAAGAUUGCGCAGUCCGACGGGAUCGUCAGUCUGGCAUUGACAUAGACAUGAUUCGAGUGAUUCGACGGGAUCGCUCGCAGUCCGAUUGUCUUAGUAUUUCCUCCGGGUACACUACAGACCACUUUGUCCUAGGUGUUCCUUUGGGUCCACCGAAGACCAGUUAUGUUUCUUCGGGAUCACAUAUUGCACGUAUUCGGGAACGUGCCAGUUCUUGGGUACCACUUUCAGGACUCUAAUAGGAAGUUAACAGGCACCUAGCGGGACUAGUAGUGGGUCCCUUACUGAGUAUUUUAUACUCACUCUUUCCAUUUCUAUUUUUUUAGGCAGGGGCAGAGGUAAGGGCAAAGGCAAGCUGGCGAACGACCAGAAGUGACCAUGACAAGCCAUAGGGAUCUUUUGCUUCCGCUUUAUGUCAUAGUUCAGAUUUUGAUGUUUGCAUUUUACUUUAUUCUUUAAUUGUUAUUUUACUUCUUUAAAAUUAGA